UUACUAGCAAUAGAAGAGAAGGAUUAAUGGCAGGAUGCUACAAACAUGCAAAGGAUUGCGGGUAAAGGAUUGCGGGUUAGGAUAACCAUUAAAAGGAUAAGUUUUCAAGGACGAAGCAAGGAGCACUACUUUUAGCUGGAUUGCUAUAAAACGAACCCGAAGGCACUGUUCAACAGUGCCUUCUUCGUCAGUG
RNAcentral lists this non-coding RNA (193 nucleotides) under Candidatus Regiella insecticola 5.15. Lineage: Bacteria; Pseudomonadati; Pseudomonadota; Gammaproteobacteria; Enterobacterales; Enterobacteriaceae. The record is from RNAcentral.